Molecule: ribosomal RNA, 253 nt
Filed under: uncultured bacterium
Lineage: Bacteria
Description: partial 16S ribosomal RNA
Rfam family: Bacterial small subunit ribosomal RNA
Source: RNAcentral
UACGUAGGGGGCAAGCGUUGUCCGGAAUCAUUGGGCGUAAAGAGCGUGUAGGCGGCCAGAUAAGUCCGCUGUGAAAACUCGAGGCUCAACUUCGAGCUGUCGGUGGAAACUAUUUGGCUAGAGUCCGGAAGAGGAGAGUGGAAUUCCUGGUGUAGCGGUGAAAUGCGCAGAUAUCAGGAAGAACACCCGUGGCGAAGGCGGCUCUCUGGUACGGAACUGACGCUGAGACGCGAAAACGUGGGGAGCGAACAGG